This 408-nucleotide ribosomal RNA is filed under the name uncultured bacterium. Its description in RNAcentral is "bacterial SSU rRNA". It matches the Rfam family "Bacterial small subunit ribosomal RNA", at positions 505 to 916 of the family's 1533-position model. The record is from RNAcentral.
GUGCCAGCCGCCGCGGUAAUACGUAGGGGGCGAGCGUUGUCCGGAAUUAUUGGGCGUAAAGGGUUCGCAGGCGGCCUUUUAAGUCAGAUGUGAAAGAUCACGGCUCAACCGUGGUAAGCAUUUGAAACUGGAAGGCUUGAGUUAAGGAGAGGAAAGUGGAAUUCCUAGUGUAGCGGUGAAAUGCGUAGAUAUUAGGAGGAAUACCAGUGGCGAAGGCGACUUUCUGGACUUAUACUGACGCUGAGGAACGAAAGCGUGGGGAGCAAACAGGAUUAGAUACCCUGGUAGUCCACGCCGUAAACGAUGAGUGCUAGGUGUCGGGUGUCAAAGCUCGGUGCCGCAGCUAACGCAUUAAGCACUCCGCCUGGGGAGUACGUGCGCAAGCAUGAAACUCAAAUAAAUUGACGG